CCUACGGGGGGCAGCAGUGAGGAAUAUUGGUCAAUGGACGAGAGUCUGAACCAGCCAAGUAGCGUGAAGGAUGACUGCCCUCUGGGUUGUAAACUUCUUUUAUAUGGGAAUAAAAUGUUCCACGUGUGGGAUUUUGUAUGUACCAUAUGAAUAAGGAUCGGCUAACUCCGUGCCAGCAGCCGCGGUAAUACGGAGGAUCCGAGCGUUAUCCGGAUUUAUUGGGUUUAAAGGGAGCGUAGGUGGAUUGUUAAGUCAGUUGUGAAAGUUUGCGGCUCAACCGGAAAACUGCAGUUGAAACUGGCAGGCUUGAGUACAGUAGAGGUGGGCGGAAUUCGAGGUGUAGCGGUGAAAUGCGUAGAUAUCACGAAGAAUUCCGAUGGCGAAGGCAGCCCACUGGACUGCAACUGACACUGAGGCUCGAAAGUGUGGGUAUCAAACAGGAUUAGAUACCCGUGUAGUC
RNAcentral lists this ribosomal RNA (460 nucleotides) under uncultured bacterium. Its description in RNAcentral is "partial 16S ribosomal RNA". It matches the Rfam family "Bacterial small subunit ribosomal RNA", at positions 338 to 795 of the family's 1533-position model. The record is from RNAcentral.